AAGAAGUGUUACAGAUGAUCAUGAAGGAGCAAACAGCCAUGUUGUAAAUGGCCUCUGAGGAGGACUGGCCUCUAGGAGUUGAGGACCUCAAGCCUACAUCUGCAAGGAAUUGAACGAUGCCAAGAACCCGAACAAACUCUGAAGAUGAGAAUGCGGCCCUGUGCCAAGACUGGCUGCCUUCCCCUGUUUCUGUACCACACUGGUUCCUGAAGCUAUUUGAGUUUGAGACUGCUGGGGUAACCUGACCCACUUCAAGGAUCUGAAAGUAUUUUACAGUUGGUUGAAUCCAUGGAUGUGGAACCCAUGGAUGUGAAGGACUGACUGUACUUUGCACUAGUGGUUCUCAAAGUGUGGGCCCUGGACCAGUGGCAGCAGCAUCACCUGGGAACUUGUGAGAAAUGCACUUUUCAGCUCCUGUUUCAGAUGGACCUAUCAGAAUCUCUGCAGGGAGGCUGUGAGGAUCUAGAGGAUACAGCUACGGAGAACAUGCUGGGUUCCUUGAGCUGCUAAGCACUGAAGUCCCACCAAUGGUGACGAAGGUCUAAGGAGAACAUUGCAAUUGCACAAAAUGAUCCUUGGAAAUUCUUUAGAAGGGCACCAUCUUGGAGACCCAGAAUCAAUAAAACCAGCAUGGCUGGGAGUUUUCUCCAGCAUUUGAAUAAAUUGUUGUUUCUUUGGUUGAACCAUGAUGAGAUAAUUGGCUUAAACCAGGAGUCAUGCAUGGUAUCUGGAAACUUCCUCACUUGAAUCACCAGCAUCAUACUCAGCAUGCAUAAUCCUCUCAUCAUGAGAGGCACAGGGGAAAUGAGCCAGCCUGUCUGGAAAGGAAGCAAAUGCAUGCUUUCCAUCUCCCACUCAGUACUGGACAUGAAGCUAUGUCAUCACCACUUAAUGCCAGCACCACUUAAAUGAUGUUUCUCUCUCUCUGCCCUGUACUUGCUGGAGGCACAUGCCCAUAUCACGUAGGGUGUCAGGGCAGAGAGCUCUUAGGAAGAGCUGAGCUGUGGGGACUUCCUCCCACGCAGAAGAGGGAGGCCUCUGCAGAAUUCUCUGCCAUGUGCUUCUAGGCUUCCUCAACUCAGAAAUUUUAUUAUAGAGUUUUAGAAUGUGAAGAGCUCUUGGAAAUCAUGAAAGAUGAAGAAUCAAGAUGGAAGUUUGAUGGCUUGUCCCAGGCCCCAGAGUGGACCCUUUGCUUUUUGGAAUCCAACAGCAAGGACUCAUGGGAAUAUCGUGGGAUUUGACUUGGAGAGACAGGGCUCAAACCUCAUCUUUGUCACUUAGUGAUUGUGUAAUUCUCUAAAAGUCUAUUUGUAGAAAAGGGAUAAGGGAGCUUUCUUUCCUGGAUUUCAAGAUGAUUAAAAGAGAUGUAUGUAUAAAGGGAUGCUCAGUUGUCUGAGCUGAGAUGACUGCAAAGUCACUGCACUCCUCUUACAAUGCCUGACAGGUGCUUCCAUCUUUGGGAGGUGUGGAGCCCUUGACAGGCACGUCAGCAGGGGGCAUUUGGGAGGGCAGCCUGCGAGGGUGAGGGGAUGCCAGUGGGCCAUACUGCAGAGGCAGAAACUUGGGGGAGGGGUCACAGGCGGUCAACUGAAGAAGGGGCUUGUGCCUGCAGAUGCUCCAAGAGGGGAGUCUAAGAGGAAUCCAGAAAAGUGUCCCCAAGAGAAAGAAUCUGACUUUAAUGUUAGCCGGACCCAGA
This 1696-nucleotide long non-coding RNA is filed under the name Homo sapiens (human). RNAcentral describes it as "HSALNT0060748". The record is from RNAcentral. Lineage: Eukaryota; Metazoa; Chordata; Mammalia; Primates; Hominidae.